This 849-nucleotide long non-coding RNA is filed under the name Sorghum bicolor (sorghum). RNAcentral describes it as "long non-coding RNA (SBIC_LNC006867)". The record is from RNAcentral. Lineage: Eukaryota; Viridiplantae; Streptophyta; Magnoliopsida; Poales; Poaceae.
CAUGAUAAAUCUCUCAACAAGGGUCUAACUCAUUUUGAACAAACUCAAUACAGAGUAGAUAAUCAUAAUUAAUUUUUUCCAGUUUUAGUAGGCAUAUAAAACAUUGAGGAUGGUAGCUAGAAUUUUUGAAUAUUUUGAAAUAAAUUCUCCAAGUAACAAUGAUAUCAAGAAUAAGAAACUCAUACUCUACCAUCUCAUAUUCCAGAAUGACUUAAGUAACACCGGUUUUUUUUUAAAUGAUUUUUUUUCAAUAAUUGCACGUUUUAGGAAAUAUCAGAGAGUGAGAUUAAUCAUAAUUAGAAAUAUUUUAAUCUUUUUAAUUUAUCAUGUCGGAAACAAAAUUCUGCAUAAUCCAAGAUAUAUGUAUGUGUAAUAGUAAAGUGUGCAGAGUGUGUACCUGAAUCGUGGAGUGGUGUAGUCGAAGUGUGUUUGGCAUGUCGAGGGAUUUCCCCCAUACUUGUUUUCUGCUUUCUUGUACAAGGAUAAAGUAGAGAUACACAAGACAUAAUAGUAAUAAUAAUAAUACUCUUUAUUAAUCUUGAGGCAUUUAUUACAAAAGACUAGUAGCAAACUGACAGUAAUAGUAGCAAACCGACGAUAAUAGUAAAUCUAAACCGAAUUUAAAGAUAAAUAACUAAGAUGCAUUACCUCAAGGUCUAAUCUAGAUAACUUAGCGGCGCUCUGAUUCCUUAAUGUUCUUAUUGGCACUAGCAAGAUUAUGCCUAAGGCCUAAUAUAAUGGUGUUGUGGUUAGAGAGCUGCCUAGUGAGGGAAUUAAUCGAGGACUGGAGGUCUAUGAUAACUCUGUCUAGCCUGCGAACGUCCUCAUCAAUAUCGACUAUAGUCUUGC